RNAcentral lists this unclassified non-coding RNA (305 nucleotides) under Hevea brasiliensis (rubber tree). Lineage: Eukaryota; Viridiplantae; Streptophyta; Magnoliopsida; Malpighiales; Euphorbiaceae. The record is from RNAcentral.
AAAGUAACCACCCUCCCAAUCAGUCUACAAUACCAUAUAUGUUACAGUCAAUCCAUCCAAUUUGAGAAGAAAAUAUAUUACAAGGUAAAAACAUAACCACUACUUUUAUCCUUAUAAUCCAUCUUUACUAAUUAUGUGAGAUCUUUAGAUAGCGAUCAAAAAAACACCCAAAUAAAACAAACUAACAUGCCUUGAAGUCUUAUACCUUAUUAUACAUGUGAGGGAAAACAAGGGAUGUAAAGUCAUGUAUUCUCUUUGCAAUAUAGGCGGAUGAGGAUACUAAAAUAAGAGAGAGAGAGAGAGAG